This 466-nucleotide ribosomal RNA is filed under the name Vreelandella stevensii. RNAcentral describes it as "partial 16S ribosomal RNA". It matches the Rfam family "Bacterial small subunit ribosomal RNA", at positions 338 to 795 of the family's 1533-position model. The record is from RNAcentral. Lineage: Bacteria; Pseudomonadati; Pseudomonadota; Gammaproteobacteria; Oceanospirillales; Halomonadaceae.
CCUACGGGUGGCAGCAGUGGGGAAUAUUGGACAAUGGGCGAAAGCCUGAUCCAGCCAUGCCGCGUGUGUGAAGAAGGCCUUCGGGUUGUAAAGCACUUUCAGUGGGGAAGAAAGCCUUAGGGCUAAUACCCUCGAGGAAGGACAUCACCCACAGAAGAAGCACCGGCUAUACUCCGUGCCAGCAGCCGCGGUAAUACGGAGGGUGCGAGCGUUAAUCGGAAUUACUGGGCGUAAAGCGCGCGUAGGCGGUCUGAUAAGCCGGUUGUGAAAGCCCCGGGCUCAACCUGGGAACGGCAUCCGGAACUGUCAGGCUAGAGUGCAGGAGAGGAAGGUAGAAUUCCCGGUGUAGCGGUGAAAUGCGUAGAGAUCGGGAGGAAUACCAGUGGCGAAGGCGGCCUUCUGGACUGACACUGACGCUGAGGUGCGAAAGCGUGGGUAGCAAACAGGAUUAGAUACCCGAGUAGUC